UCUAAUUUCAUUGAGCAAAUUGAAUUCAAAUAGCUACAGGUGGAGAGCUGAUAAUAGAAUCCUGAAAGUUUUACCGACAUUAGGAUUGUGUUGAAGGAGAAGAGAUAUGGAGGAUAUUACCUCUUAACAAGGAGCUCAGUGUGAUAUGGAGCUUCAGAAGCUAACGGGAGCUCAGAGCGAGGUAGAGCUCCAGGUAUAGAUGGAUUGGGCACA
This 213-nucleotide long non-coding RNA is filed under the name Elaeis guineensis (African oil palm). Its description in RNAcentral is "long non-coding RNA (EGUI_LNC048199)". Lineage: Eukaryota; Viridiplantae; Streptophyta; Magnoliopsida; Arecales; Arecaceae. The record is from RNAcentral.